Molecule: long non-coding RNA, 1612 nt
Organism: Cyprinus carpio carpio
Lineage: Eukaryota; Metazoa; Chordata; Actinopteri; Cypriniformes; Cyprinidae
Source: Ensembl
GCCAUGCGCUGGAACCAACAAAAAGUUUGACAACUUGGCUUCUACCCUUGCCCGCCGAUAUCGGAAGGCCACAAUAGCCCUGCAAUGCCAGUUGCAUAACCUGGAGGCCAUGAAAACGGAAAUGGACGUCUCAGACAAUCAACUGGAGAGGUGGAUCAUUGAUAUCAAUGAGUGGGCAGAAGCAACAACAUCCCCAAAUGAUGCUGAUGUUGCCGCUGUUGCCAGCCGAAUUGAGGAGCUGGUGGCAAGUGUUAAGAGGAGGUCCCAGCGUCUUUACAAGGAUAGUGACGGAUGCAAAGGGACGUGCCCGAAUCCGCCGAAAGAUCAGGGAGGAAAAAUCUUAAAUUCUGUAGUGGAAAAAGUACAACACCUUGGUUCCUAAUGCAGAAAAAAACUGUCAUUGGACACCAUUCUAUCUGACGAGAUUGUUUGGCCAUGGCAGCUUACACACGGUGGUAUGUACACAAUUCCAUUGUCACAUAGUGGGACAAAAAUCUGUCAUGCCUCGAUUUUACACCUGAAAAUCUCUAAAUACUAAUCUCAAAUACAACCGACUUAUGUUUCAUCUAUGUAUUCCAGACUCUGUUGAUCUAAGGACAAAGAGGAAGGCGUUCGACAUUGUGAUGGCAGUAAGGAGACUUGAGGAGGAGAAGAGGAUUCUUAUUGCAGAGAUGAACAAGCAUUGGAAGUCUCUUUGCUCCCGUGCAGACACCCUGAAGCAGAUGUCAUCCAAGCUUUCUAAUGUGACAUCAGGUGAGACUUGGGGCCUGCUUCAAGAUGGUAUCCGAGGUCUACAAAGCUUGACGAUGAAGAACAAGCGAGCAAGCAACAGCCUGGCAAAGCAUGCAAAGAAAUAUUAUGUUCAAGUUCUGACUGAAACAGAAAUUAACUUUGAUAGUGAUUCUGAGGAAUACCAUACCAGUAGUGACUCUGAGCAAGAUUAAACAUGGCCAGAGUCCUUUUUAUGCUGUUGUGUGCUGGGGAGGCAGCAUUAAAGAAGAGGGCCGCUGGGACAGGUUGUUAAGGAAAGCUGGCUCUGUGUUUGGCAUGGAGCUGGAGUUAAUUAUUUAACAAACUGAGGAUAAUUUGCAGUAGCAGUCUUCUGUCAUGCUCAACAUUGAGGAGGUCCUUUGUCCCCAGGGCAUACCAGCAACUCAAUGUCACAGAAAAGGUUAGGGGAGAAAUUGACUUUUCAGCAUGAGUCUCACCCUGCGCCAACCAUUACAUCGCUUUGUCUAUUGUCUAGUAUCCACUAUCCAUUUGACUGUCUUACAGGCUACAUUAGCCCCUCUACACAUUCUGAACUGUGGUUUCAACAUUUACCCCUGUUGGCUUGUAUAAUCUUUUUUUCUUUUUUUAUAUAUAUUUAAGUUUCUGUUUUUUUCUAUCUAUUUUAACUUCUUUGUAUUGUUUUUUUGUUAAGCAAUACUAUUAUGCUCAGACUCUUUUUUUCCAUAGUCAUAUUAAACAUGCACAGCUUUGCACUGAUUAAAUCCCUGCACUGUUUACUUUUUGCACUACCACCACUGCAAAUCACUCUAUAGUUGCCCAUCAUGUAUCACAGGGUCAGUCCCUACCAGGCCUUUGUAAUCACUUGACAUGCUCUUCACUU